GUAGUUCAGUUGGUUAGAAUACCUGCCUGUCACGCAGGGGGUCGCGGGUUCGAGUCCCGUCCA
Molecule: transfer RNA, 63 nt
Filed under: Cryomorphaceae bacterium
Lineage: Bacteria; Pseudomonadati; Bacteroidota; Flavobacteriia; Flavobacteriales; Cryomorphaceae
Also listed under: 1 other name
Description: tRNA-Asp
Rfam family: tRNA
About the family: Transfer RNA (tRNA) molecules are approximately 80 nucleotides in length. Their secondary structure includes four short double-helical elements and three loops (D, anti-codon, and T loops).
Source: RNAcentral